Tupaia belangeri chinensis (Chinese tree shrew) is the source of this 4643-nucleotide RNA transcript. It is a transcript of the gene named VANGL planar cell polarity protein 1, with no coding region annotated. The transcript has 8 exons. The record is from RefSeq and is a predicted model, not a curated record. NCBI's taxonomy places the organism in Eukaryota, Metazoa, Chordata, Mammalia, Scandentia, Tupaiidae.
GGUUCCUGUUGAAGAGUGGCUCCUCCUCAGAUUCCUGAGAUUUUAAGCAUCCAGUAGGUGAAAUUCUCUACCUCUAAGGAGAAACAGCACCUGCUCCUUCACCCAGAGCAAGCCCUCCAUUGCUAUGGAUACCGAAUCCACCUACUCUGGAUAUUCCUACUACUCAAGUCAUUCGAAGAAAUCUCACAGACAAGGGGAGAGGUCUAGAGACAGACACAAAUCACCCCGGAGUAAAGAUGGCAGAGGGUCAGAAAAAUCUGUCACCAUCCAGGCUCCCACCGGAGAGCCCUUGUUGGCAAAUGAUUCUACUCGGACGGAGGAAGUUCAGGAUGACAACUGGGGCGAGACCACCACGGCCAUCACAGGCACCUCUGAGCACAGCAUAUCCCAGGAGGACAUCGCCAGGAUCAGCAAGGACAUGGACGACAGUGUGGGGCUGGACUGCAAACGCUACCUGGGCCUCACCCUCGCUGCCUUCCUGGGACUUCUAGUCUUCCUCACCCCCAUUGCCUUCAUCCUGCUGCCCCCGAUCCUGUGGAGGGACGAGCUGGAGCCUUGCGGCACCAUUUGUGAGGGCCUCUUCAUUUCCGUCUCAUUCAAACUCCUCAUCCUGCUCAUUGGAACCUGGGCACUUUUCUUCCGCAGGCAGAGGGCUGAUGUGCCCCGGAUCUUUGUGUUCCGUGCCCUUCUGUUGGUCCUCAUCUUUCUCUUUGUGGUUUCCUAUUGGCUCUUUUACGGAGUUCGAAUUUUGGACUCUCGGGACCGAAACUACCAGGGCAUUGUGCAGUAUGCCGUCUCGCUGGUGGACGCCCUGCUCUUCAUCCAUUACCUGGCCAUCGUCCUGCUGGAGCUGCGGCAGCUGCAGCCCAUGUUCACGCUGCAGGUGGUCCGCUCCACCGACGGCGAGUCCCGCUUCUACAGCCUGGGACACCUGAGUAUCCAGAGAGCAGCGUUGGUGGUUCUGGAAAAUUAUUAUAAAGAUUUCACCAUCUAUAACCCGAAUCUCCUAACAGCCUCCAAAUUCAGAGCAGCCAAGCACAUGGCCGGGCUGAAGGUCUACAACGUAGACGGCCCCAGUAACAAUGCCACUGGUCAGUCCCGGGCCAUGAUUGCUGCAGCCGCUCGGCGCAGGGACUCCAGCCACAACGAGUUGUACUACGAAGAGGCCGAACACGAACGGCGCGUGAAGAAGCGGAAAGCCAGGCUGGUGGUUGCCGUGGAAGAGGCCUUCAUCCAUAUCCAGCGUCUGCAGGCCGAGGAGCAGCAGAAAGCUCCAGGAGAGGUGAUGGACCCCAGGGAGGCUGCUCAGGCCAUCUUUCCCUCCAUGGCCCGGGCGCUGCAGAAGUACCUGCGCACCACGCGACAGCAGCACUACCACAGCAUGGAGAGCAUCCUGCAGCACCUGGCCUUCUGCAUCACCAACAGCAUGACCCCAAAGGCCUUCCUAGAACGUUACCUCAGCGCAGGCCCCACGCUGCAGUAUGACAAGGAUCGCUGGCUCUCUACGCAAUGGAGACUUGUUAGUGAUGAGGCUGUGACCAACGGAUUACGGGAUGGAAUUGUUUUUGUCCUUAAAUGCUUGGACUUCAGCCUCGUAGUCAAUGUGAAAAAAAUCCCAUUCAUCGUCCUCUCUGAAGAGUUCAUAGACCCCAAAUCUCACAAGUUUGUCCUUCGCUUACAGUCUGAGACAUCAGUUUAAAAGUUCUAUAUUUGUGGCUUUAUAAAAAAAAAGAAGAAAAAUAUAUAAAGAUAUAUAUACAUAUAUAUAUAUACACACACACCAGAGGGGUGUCUUUUUUGUUUUGUUUUUUGUUUUAUUCUUCAUUGCGGACUGAAGCUGGCAGAUGACAGACCAGUAUCCUUUGAACAUCUGCACUUUAUUCGGAAGGAAGCAGGGAUGCCCACCCUGAUUAAGACACCUGACUUUUGCAGGUGAGAUAUCUCAAGAAGCCAGUCCCUGGAGUUUCUGGGACAGCUGUAAACCAAAGUGGAGCUGGCACGUUCUUGGGAGCCUCGCCUUUCGACAGGAAGUCCCUGCUUUCCGUCCAGUUCUCGUCCCCCCACCAUUGCCUCUGGUUGACGCGUAGACUUCAAGGGGACACGUCUUUAUUCUGUUUCAGGAAACCAGACACUCCAUGUCCACCUAUGUAUUUGUGUGUGCAAAUGUGCAGUACCACAUGGCCCACGUGAGUUGUGGGCAGUUCAGGAAAUGCCUGCCUUCAUCUUUGUUCUUUGUUGCCUUAGAUUCUUCGAGAAAUAUCACAACGAAAAAUGUGCACUCUCAGUGUAUAGCUAUUAAGUGAUUUUACUUUGUAUUUUUCCCAAAGAGAAACUACCAUCUCUGUUUCUGAUCCUGUUCCUCUAUGGGCUUAAAGCAGGUAGCUCUUUCCCAACCCUACAAUUGCCCACCCAGUUUCCACUCCUUCCUGCCCUCCCUGGCAUGCAUAUCACGCCCGAGCUGGCUGGCAGCCCUGGCCAGGCAAGCUCAGCCUUUCAGAGCUGACGGCCCCAGCUCUCCAGGUAUGCCCUCAGGCCCUUUGCACAGAUUGUCCCCACAGUGUGGAGUGCCACCAGGUAGAACACAGGGAGAACAUGCCCAGUGACCUCUUAAGCUGCUGCAGGAACCCUGUCUCACCUAUUUCUCCACCCCACUGUCCUGCACCAGCUUGGGGGGAGACAAACACUGUGACUCUUAGGUGAGCAGGCACAGCUUGGAGCCAACCUAAUUUCUGGGAAUGUAAGUUCCCCACAGCACUCAUGCAACUGCCCUGUCAAGAGAGACCAAACAGUGCCAACCACACUGGCCACUCCUGUGUCCAGGCCCUGUGUUUUCUGACCACCAUCACUGUGCAACUCAUCAUCUUACCACUUACUACCAGCUAGGGGCUUGUUUACCUCCUGAUGUGUACAUUACUGCCAGGUGUUGGUCAAGUGGGGCAAAGGAAAUGGACCCUUGGUGGAGUUUAGGGCAGGGAGACUAGGGAUCCAGUCUUCUAGUCCAGAGUGGUUCAUCUGCGGUCUGUUUCAGUGGGCUUUCCCCUGGCCCUGGGAAAGUAAUGCUGCCUGGGCCAUGGGCAGAGGCACCAUCCUGACAGAGCCCUGCUACAGGGAAGCCCUCGGGAGCACAUCUGGACCCUGUGCAGUGCGCUGUCUUUGCCUCUGUUUGCCUUCCUGCAUCUGCAACAAACUUUUAAAACACAUUCACUAUUAUUUUUCAUCUAGGGUAAUGAGUUACUUUGCUUUUGUAAAGGAUGACUCCGUCAAAAUGCUUUUUGUAUUUUGUGCACGUACCCUUACUAUUUGAUGCGUUCUGCGAGUGGUACAGUAUUUCGUGUGUCAUUUUAAAAAUCAAAAUCAGAUAUUUGUAGCAUACCUGUACCUGAAAAAGUAAACAAUGUUGUUGAGUCAACAACCUUCAGCUCAAAAAGAUGUGUUGGAGAAGGAAGGGGACACCUCGGCAAUGGCAUGGAGCCAAGUCGUACUGUGUAACUACGUGGUUCCGUUUAUGAGAAACACCUGCCGUGGCACCAUGGUGCUUUUGUUCUUCGUCUUUGCCUUUCGGUCCCUUCAAACUGGAAGUUCCAUGUCAUUUGUUUCUCAGGAAAUAUUUUGGAAUAUAGGAUAAAGGGUGGUGAAUAUGUGUGAGACCUGGCUGUGUAAAGAUAAUGUCCCAGACUACAUGUGUCCGAAGCGGCUGGAUCACGAAUAUGGUACGAUUGAAAGUGCCAUGCGUGUAUACACCUACAGGUGGCAAUGACCGUUCACCAGCAUCCUAAACACUACGCUUCCAAGCCUGUCUUAGAUGACCAGUCCAGACGGGGUUAAGUCCGAUUCAUUUGCUUUGGCAUGUACCUUCCCAGCGGUGUGAAGAAAGGUUUAAAUUAAGGAAUUUAUUUUCUCUCUCCCUCUCCCAAUCUGCAUAGGAGAAUGUCAGACUUUCAGAAAUGAUUGUUUCUGUUUUAAAUUGAGGAUCGAUUUUUUUUUUUUACACUGACUUUGUAUUGUGUCCUUUUGAAAAGAAUAACAAAAUAAAAUGCAGGAUCUUUGUGUAAAGCCUUUGCACUUUUAACCUCUUAAUAGCUUGAGUGACUGGUGCAGUGGGAACAAUGGAAAUGGCAUGAAAACUGUUUAAGAUUUCAGAGAGCUGCAUCAUAUUGAACACAGUGCAUUUCAGUUAUGGAGCCAGUAGGCAAUUCUUUCUAAAAAGGGGAUAGAGCUGUGCCCUAAGGCUAGUAGAGUAUAUGUUCAUAUUAGAGAAUAUAGGAUUUUAUAUGCCUUAAAUGUUUAUAGAUUUUCUAUAACUUUCAACCUAAGUUAUUAAAAUUUGAACGUUAACUGUUAAAAGGAAAGGACUUAAUGAGUAUAUGUCUGAGAUUGCUCUUUCCUGGUGAACUUUUUACCCAGUAGAUAACUAUGGUUCUUACAUGGAUACUUUUGAAGACAGGACUUUUUUCUUUUUUUUAAAUAUACCAGGGACUGAAUAUUAAAAUAGAAAAGUCUGCAUUCUUAGAAAUGGAAGGGAUUUAAAGUUAUGUAGUUCACCUGUCAUUUGCAUUAUCAGUGAAGUCAAAAUGUAUACUAUUUUGGGAACCAGCAGUUAGCGUAAUGGCUAUGUCGCUGGACUCCCACGUAGUCGACCGUGG